AGAGGAAUAGCUGUGUCAAAUGGUGGUUUCAUUUCCAGAUUUUCAAGGAAUCUCCAUACUGUUUUCCAAAUUGGCUGCACCAAUUUGCAGUCCCACCAGCAGU
Molecule: microRNA precursor, 103 nt
Filed under: Marmota monax (woodchuck)
Lineage: Eukaryota; Metazoa; Chordata; Mammalia; Rodentia; Sciuridae
Source: RNAcentral